UACGUAGGGGGCUAGCGUUAUCCGGAAUUACUGGGCGUAAAGGGUGCGUAGGUGGUUUCUUAAGUCAGAGGUGAAAGGCUACGGCUCAACCGUAGUAAGCCUUUGAAACUGAGAAACUUGAGUGCAGGAGAGGAGAGUAGAAUUCCUAGUGUAGCGGUGAAAUGCGUAGAUAUUAGGAGGAAUACCAGUUGCGAAGGCGGCUCUCUGGACUGUAACUGACACUGAGGCACGAAAGCGUUGGGAGCCAACGGG
Molecule: ribosomal RNA, 252 nt
Filed under: uncultured bacterium
Lineage: Bacteria
Description: partial 16S ribosomal RNA
Rfam family: Bacterial small subunit ribosomal RNA
Source: RNAcentral